UCCAGAGGUGGCGAUCGUUGUUCGGAAUUACUGGGCGUAAAGGGCGCGUAGGCGGCCUUCUAAGUCGGACGUGAAAGCCCCAGGCUUAACCUGGGAACUGCGUCCGAUACUGGGAGGCUUGGAUUCGGGAGAGGGAUGUGGAAUUCCAGGUGUAGCGGUGAAAUGCGUAGAUAUCUGGAGGAACACCGGUGGCGAAGGCGGCAUCCUGGACCGACAUCGACGCUGAGGCGCGAAAGCUAGGGGAGAAAACGGG
This 253-nucleotide ribosomal RNA is filed under the name uncultured bacterium. RNAcentral describes it as "partial 16S ribosomal RNA". It matches the Rfam family "Bacterial small subunit ribosomal RNA", at positions 524 to 776 of the family's 1533-position model. The record is from RNAcentral.